GCGGUGGAUGAUGUGUUUAAUUCGAUGCAACGACGAAAACCUUACCACCUUUGACAUGUACGGAAGCCUUUAGAGAUAGAGGCGUGCUCGAAAGAGAGCCGUAACACAGGUGCUGCAUGGCUGUCGUCAGCUCGUGUCGUGAGAUGUUGGGUUAAGUCCCGCAACGAGCGCAACCCUUGUCAUUAGUUGCUACAUUCAGUUGGGCACUCUAAUGAGACUGCCGGUGACAAGCCGGAGGAAGGUGGGGAUGACGUCAAGUCCUCAUGGCCCUUAUAGGUGGGGCUACACACGUCAUACAAUGGCUGGUACAAAGGGUUGCCAACCCGCGAGGGGGAGCUAAUCCCAUAAAGCCAGUCGUAGUUCGGAUCGUAGUCUGCAACUCGACUACGUGAAGUCGGAAUCGCUAGUAAUCGUGGAUCAGAAUGUCACGGUGAAUACGUUCCCGGGUCUU
Molecule: ribosomal RNA, 451 nt
Filed under: uncultured Rhodoferax sp.
Lineage: Bacteria; Pseudomonadati; Pseudomonadota; Betaproteobacteria; Burkholderiales; Comamonadaceae
Description: bacterial SSU rRNA
Rfam family: Bacterial small subunit ribosomal RNA
Source: RNAcentral